CCUACGGGCGGCUGCAGUGGGGAAUAUUGCACAAUGGGCGCAAGCCUGAUGCAGCCGUGCCGCGUGUGUGAAGAAGGCCUUCGGGUUGUAAAGCACUUUCAGCGGGGAGGAAGGCGUUAAGGUUAAUAACCUUGUCGAUUGACGUUACCCGCAGAAGAAGCACCGGCUAACUCCGUGCCAGCAGCCGCGGUAAUACGGAGGGUGCAAGCGUUAAUCGGAAUUACUGGGCGUAAAGCGCACGCAGGCGGUCUGUCAAGUCGGAUGUGAAAUCCCCGGGCUCAACCUGGGAACUGCAUUCGAAACUGGCAGGCUAGAGUCUUGUAGAGGGGGGUAGAAUUCCAGGUGUAGCGGUGAAAUGCGUAGAGAUCUGGAGGAAUACCGGUGGCGAAGGCGGCCCCCUGGACAAAGACUGACGCUCAGGUGCGAAAGCGUGGGGAGCAAACAGGAUUAGAUACCCUAGUAGUC
This 465-nucleotide ribosomal RNA is filed under the name uncultured Klebsiella sp. RNAcentral's name for it is "bacterial SSU rRNA". It matches the Rfam family "Bacterial small subunit ribosomal RNA", at positions 338 to 795 of the family's 1533-position model. Lineage: Bacteria; Pseudomonadati; Pseudomonadota; Gammaproteobacteria; Enterobacterales; Enterobacteriaceae. The record is from RNAcentral.